AUUUAAAUAGUUUAUAAGAAUAAUAAUUUGUGGUAUUAUAGGUGUAAGUUCAAUUACUUUAAGUC
RNAcentral lists this transfer RNA (65 nucleotides) under Urolabida sp. FS-2019. RNAcentral's name for it is "tRNA-His". The record is from RNAcentral. Lineage: Eukaryota; Metazoa; Arthropoda; Insecta; Hemiptera; Urostylididae.